ACAUAGAUGGUCAAGGGGUUUCUAUGACGCUAAUGAGAUUUUCCUAGAUGCGGGGUCAGUCACUGUAAAAGUUUAUCAGCAACAGUUUUUUUUUUGUUUUCUCUCUCUUCCAUUACUCUUUUUUCCUAAACAAUUAGGGUUUUCACAUCUACCAUCUUCAAGCUCCGGCGGCCAUCUCGUCCUCUUACGGCCGUCGGAGGCACCCUCGUGCCCCUUCACUUCUGAUCUUCUUCGUUUGUCUCUGUCUCUUCUUACGGUAGGAGGAGAGGUUCAGUUACGUUCAGAUCUGAAAACCUUGUUAGAUCUUUCAGCUUCUUGGUGGUUUGAAGAUGCGUGAGGACAGCUACCUUCUUCCUCCGGGCUCGCCUCUGAUCUCUUUGGUUCUCCGGUCAUUUUCUGUGUUCGUGGCUGUCCUCUCCCGAGUGUGACAUGGCAGGUGGCGUCGGCUAGUCUCUCCAGGCCCGUCUCUGCUUCAGGUGUGGCUGUGGCUGGAGGCUUGGUGUGGUUGUUGGUGUGCUAGGGAUCAGGGUCUAUCUUUGUGAUGGAUCUCUGUGUUGUUGUACUUUGCUUGGUUGUUUCAGGUCUCCUAGACGACGGCGCAUGGAGUGCGAUGGAGGUUGAGCCCUCAGCUCUGCUUCUUCUUUUUUUCUCUGGUGACGGACGCGUCCGGCGGUUUCUGUUCUCCGGUUUUCUGCUGUAAGUAGGUUUAGGAGCUGAUUAUGUGGUAGUUUGAUGGUGGGUUAGUCAGGCAACAGUCUAAUCUUCGGUUCAGUCAUAGGUUUUAUCGGAGGAUUUGUCCGCUUCCGGUCCGUUCUCCCUAUAAGGUUUUCUGGUUAAACGGGUGUAGACGGUCACGGUAGAGAAAGCUCGAGCCGGUAAUCUCAUGUUCUCUCUAACGAACGACGGCAUCAUCGGAAGUCGGUUUAUCCUCGUACCGCCGGUGUCUCUUUGACUGGACUGGCUUGCAGGUCCGUGAUGGUUUCUUGGAUUGGUUUGUGGUGGGUUUACUAUUUGGAAGAUGUAGGAGCCGUGCUUCUGGGGUUUGAGAGCACCAUAUCUCUCGGUAUCUCGUGGUAACUGAGUUGUCUUUUAUGCUCUCUCUGGUGUUUUUGGUCUGUCAUCAUUUUGUUAGCUCGUCUUCAUCCCUUGAUCAGGCUGCUCUUAUUUCGUGUUCUUUGCUUAGCUAUUGUGCACUGUUGCUUCUUGUUUAGUUACUUUUCAUCCGUUUC
Molecule: long non-coding RNA, 1229 nt
Organism: Brassica oleracea var. oleracea
Lineage: Eukaryota; Viridiplantae; Streptophyta; Magnoliopsida; Brassicales; Brassicaceae
Exons: 2
Source: RefSeq, a predicted model, not a curated record